This 251-nucleotide ribosomal RNA is filed under the name uncultured prokaryote. RNAcentral's name for it is "partial 16S ribosomal RNA". It matches the Rfam family "Bacterial small subunit ribosomal RNA", at positions 524 to 774 of the family's 1533-position model. The record is from RNAcentral.
UACGGAGGAUGCGAGCGUUAUCCGGAUUUAUUGGGUUUAAAGGGUGCGUAGGCGGAUUAGUAAGUCAGCGGUGAAAUUUUGCAGCUUAACUGUAACAGUGCCGUUGAUACUGCCAGGCUAGGAUUUGGUUGCUGUGGGUGGAAUGUGUGGUGUAGUGGUGAAAUGCUUAGAUAUCACACAGAAUAUCGAUUGCGAAGGCAGCUCACAAAGCCAAGAUUGACGCUGAGGCACGAAAGUGUGGGGAUCAAACA